CAGGGGGAGGAGGAGGAGAGUUACACUCAGCGUAGGACGGCAUGGCAACGCUGAGGCGCAUGCUGAGGCGCCGGUAGCCUGACGACACAUUGUCCACGCUUUGUGCAUGUUGCGUCGGAUAGUAACUGAUGGCAGUGUACUCGUUGGGGCACUGAGAGCUGGAUCAUUCACCUUCAGACACUUGUCCUUUUGGGUGGCUCAUCUGUCAAGUCAAUUAAAUGCUGUCACUAAUUUAUUUGGAUAAAGUGAAGACCGGCACGGCAUGUCGGAUUCCUCCAUUCAGACAGGGGUUACUGUCACAGCUGUUCAUCCUGACCUGGUUGACACAGCACUGGUAGACCCCAAACACCCUCCUCCUCCCAGGCCCAUUCCACUCCUUAUCCUCCUCUGUCCU
Oncorhynchus mykiss (rainbow trout) is the source of this 394-nucleotide non-coding RNA. The record is from RefSeq and is a predicted model, not a curated record. NCBI's taxonomy places the organism in Eukaryota, Metazoa, Chordata, Actinopteri, Salmoniformes, Salmonidae.